GAUGAACGCUGGCGGCGUGCCUAAUACAUGCAAGUCGAGCGAACAGACGAGGAGCUUGCUCCUCUGAUGUUAGCGGCGGACGGGUGAGUAACACGUGGAUAACCUACCUAUAAGACUGGGAUAACUUCGGGAAACCGGAGCUAAUACCGGAUAACAUGUUGAACCGCAUGGUUCAACAGUGAAGGACGGUCUUGCUGUCACUUAUAGAUGGAUCCGCGCCGCAUUAGCUAGUUGGUAAGGUAACGGCUUACCAAGGCAACGAUGCGUAGCCGACCUGAGAGGGUGAUCGGCCACACUGGAACUGAGACACGGUCCAGACUCCUACGGGAGGCAGCAGUAGGGAAUCUUCCGCAAUGGGCGAAAGCCUGACGGAGCAACGCCGCGUGAGUGAAGAAGGUCUUCGGAUCGUAAAACUCUGUUAUUAGGGAAGAACAAAUGUGUAAGUAACUAUGCACGUCUUGACGGUACCUAAUCAGAAAGCCACGGCUAACUACGUG
Molecule: ribosomal RNA, 497 nt
Filed under: uncultured bacterium
Lineage: Bacteria
Description: partial 16S ribosomal RNA
Rfam family: Bacterial small subunit ribosomal RNA
Source: RNAcentral